RNAcentral lists this small nuclear RNA (22 nucleotides) under Arabidopsis thaliana (thale cress). RNAcentral's name for it is "snRNA_03402". Lineage: Eukaryota; Viridiplantae; Streptophyta; Magnoliopsida; Brassicales; Brassicaceae. The record is from RNAcentral.
GGAAUUAGGCGUUUCUUCCAAU